Molecule: ribosomal RNA, 499 nt
Filed under: uncultured bacterium
Lineage: Bacteria
Description: partial 16S ribosomal RNA
Rfam family: Bacterial small subunit ribosomal RNA
Source: RNAcentral
GACGAACGCUGGCGGCGUGCCUAAUACAUGCAAGUCGAGCGAAGUUUUUCUGGUGCUUGCACUAGAAAAACUUAGCGGCGAACGGGUGAGUAACACGUAAAGAACCUGCCUCAUAGACUGGGACAACUAUUGGAAACGAUAGCUAAUACCGGAUAACAGUAUUUCUCGCAUGAGAGAUAUUUAAAAGUUGGUUAUGCUAACACUAUGAGAUGGCUUUGCGGUGCAUUAGCUAGUUGGCGGGGUAAAGGCCCACCAAGGCGACGAUGCAUAGCCGACCUGAGAGGGUGAUCGGCCACACUGGGACUGAGACACGGCCCAGACUCCUACGGGAGGCAGCAGUAGGGAAUCUUCCGCAAAGGGCGAAAGCCUGACGGAGCAACGCCGCGUGAGUGAAGAAGGAUUUCGGUUCGUAAAGCUCUGUUGUUAGGGAAGAAUGGAUAUGUAGUAACUAUACAUGUAAGAGACGGUACCUAACCAGAAAGCCACGGCUAACUACGUG